RNAcentral lists this ribosomal RNA (465 nucleotides) under Vreelandella stevensii. RNAcentral's name for it is "partial 16S ribosomal RNA". It matches the Rfam family "Bacterial small subunit ribosomal RNA", at positions 338 to 795 of the family's 1533-position model. Lineage: Bacteria; Pseudomonadati; Pseudomonadota; Gammaproteobacteria; Oceanospirillales; Halomonadaceae. The record is from RNAcentral.
CCUACGGGUGGCUGCAGUGGGGAAUAUUGGACAAUGGGCGAAAGCCUGAUCCAGCCAUGCCGCGUGUGUGAAGAAGGCCUUCGGGUUGUAAAGCACUUUCAGUGGGGAAGAAAGCCUUGGGGCUAAUACCCUCGAGGAAGGACAUCACCCACAGAAGAAGCACCGGCUAACUCCGUGCCAGCAGCCGCGGUAAUACGGAGGGUGCGAGUGUUAAUCGGAAUUACUGGGCGUAAAGCGCGCGUAGGCGGUCUGAUAAGCCGGUUGUGAAAGCCCCGGGCUCAACCUGGGAACGGCAUCCGGAACUGUCAGGCUAGAGUGCAGGAGAGGAAGGUAGAAUUCCCGGUGUAGCGGUGAAAUGCGUAGAGAUCGGGAGGAAUACCAGUGGCGAAGGCGGCCUUCUGGACUGACACUGACGCUGAGGUGCGAAAGCGUGGGUAGCAAACAGGAUUAGAUACCCGAGUAGUC